GCGGGCGCUGGGGCGAAGCGGGCUAUGUGACACUGCCCCGCCCCCGCCCGGCCUACCCCUCCCUAGGGUCUGGGGCCGCGGGAUCCGCCGGGAGCAUCCACUGGAUCCGCGCUGUCCCCACCUGGGGGGCCGGGCGCCGCCACACCUGCGAAGCUGAGAAGCCCCAGUGCCCCGCGCGGGGCGGGGAGAGGGGAGCGUCCGAGACCCCGGGCCGCGCCUGGGGCAGGGGACGUGGGAGUGUGUGGGUGCGUGUGUGAGCGUGUGGGUGCGUGUGUGAGCGCCGCGCGCAGGCCCCGGCGCCCCUGCGCGGCCAUGCGGCGGGCGGAGGGGACCGGGGGCAGCGCGGCCGGCCGGCCCCGCGCGGUGGGCUCGGUUAGGUGCGCGCGGGGCCCAGCUCGCCUCGCCGCGUGCGGUGUGUGCUGGGGGCUCGGAGGGGAGGCCGAGGCUCCCACGGGGGUUUCUCACUGUGGGCCCCGCGCACACGCCCCAGCGCGCGCCCGCCGCGCAGCCUCCACGCCCGGCUGGGAAACGCCCCGCAACCCUGGGCGUUAGGACGCCCCCUCCCCCGCCGCGUGCUUCGAAUAGAGCGUCCCCAACCGCUCCCGUCCUUUGACACCGGGACUAUUUUGGCUCGUAUAUAACAUUUUUAGAAACCACGAUCUUUUUGAGCUGCGUGUUAUGUGACUAUGAUAUAUGACGGGUUACCUAGACCCUUAGAUAAUGAAAAAUUGAAAGGGAACUUCAAAAGUGAUUAGAUUUUUUACCAUUUCAGGACACCCGGCGGGAAGCUCGCCUUGCCCUCUGUUCAGUGCCGUGAAUAUCUUCUGAGUUCAACUACAAAAGAUAACGUUCUUGGCUGAGACUUCUCCUUGUAAUAAAGGAUUAACAAGAGGAGAAAACAUAGGUUCGUCUGUACCUGAGGAGCCCCGUGAAGACAGGGGCCUCGGAAGGCAGCCUGGGCCUCGAGCGGGCCGGGCGCGGGAGGGUGGGGCAGGGUCUGGCCCAGGUGGGCUGUCCGGCCAGGUGGCCGUCUCUCGGGUGAAGUGGCCUCUGGCGGUAGUGCCCCUCCUGGCGCGGCCGCUCCUGGGGUGCGUGUGCCUCAGCGAAGCUCGCCUCAGGGCUCUUCUCAGCUCGUCCUGGGACUCAGUGUCUCAGAGGGACCGUGUGCGCGAGAGGCGGCUCUCGGGGCGGCCGUCUGGAGGCGGCGGGCUGGCUGGGAUGGGGGGGAGCCCCGGCCGCCGCCCGGAGACAGGCCGGGAGCCCAGGCGCUCCGCGAGGCCCCGGACAACUACGGAGCUCUCAGCCUCAGUCCACCCACGUGUAACCACGAAGGCUGCCGCACGAUCACCGAGAGGAGCUAGACUGUCACACUGCCGGGCUUUUGACAGUUGUGCCGUAAACACUGUUUUUAUUGUUUUGGUUGCCAUAAAUAAUUAAGUAAGCGAUCAGUAUAACUGUCAUCGCUUUGUAAGUGCAUCUUACAAACAGCUGGGAAAGAUUCUAAUGGACGGUUUCGGUUUUCUAGUCUCCUCCACAGGCUGCAGGUGGGCGGGCUUGUCUUCUGCAGUGGGAUCAGCCGUGGCCUGUUGUAGUCACGGGCGGGCUGCGAGGGAGUGGGACACCCGGCCGGAGAGCGGCUCGCUGGAAGCCAGCGGUGGGGCAGGGAGUCGGCCCUGCAAGCGUCAACAACGGUGUCUCCGUAAGCCGUGCACUGCUCGGUGCAGCUCUCCGUGUCUGUGUUUUAUUUUACAGUGGAAAACAACUCCCCUGCCGCCCCGAACAAAAUAAAAAAAAAAGGAACAAAGGAAGGAAGAAGAGAAAAAAGCAGCAAACCAAGAGGCAAGACGAAAGAAAGUUCCAAGUCUGACCAGGAUCGGAGACGCAGCAGGCUUCCCCCAGCGCUGAGCUGUGCCCCCUGAGCCUGAGGGGAGCCCCAGUCAGAACAGGCAGAUGACAAGGCAGGAGGUGGCGGAGACCUGCUCCUGGCUGCUGGGUCCGUGGGUCAGGUCUAGGCUCACUAGGCUCGGCGUUUCGUCUGGCCACCCCUCAGUAGACCGCUGGUGUCCGUGGACAUGAUCUGUCCACCCAGAAGCUCGUUACCAAAGCCAGAGAUCUGGCCUCCAGCCGGAGGAAGCCCGUCUUAGAAAUGUGAAGCCUGGUGCCCUGCUCCUCCUCGCCCUCGGCUCUGCCACGUCUGCCUUGGCCUGGACGUCCUGUAACCUGGGCUGACUUGCCCUUGGGCCCAGGUAGCCUGUGACCAAGGGGGUGCUCUUGGACACAUUAUUAUCUUUGUCUUCCCAAUCUUUGUUCUUACGAACUUUAUAUUGGGGCUGCAAAUUUGGCCUUUUUAACACUGACCCUGAGCCAUAGUUGAAAAGCCUGCCUCCUGCAAGUCUGUGUUUCUGUUCCUUUCUGCUUUCAGAGCGGGCACCUGAGGGAAAAGCUUGUCUGUCUAUUACAGGGCUUUACUGAAGUCCACUGGAAGCCUCCGCCACUGAUGGCCUGAUAUUUUUUCAUCAAGUCCUAAAGUGGCAGCCUCUUUGGAAUGCGGUGAGAAUCCAAGAUGCACAGGCGUCUUUCCACCAGCUUGCUUUGUGGCUGUCCAGGGAUGGUUGCAGUUUCCUACUCGGGUGGGAGGUCCUCACUGCUCCUUGUUCGCCUCCACUCAGCUCGCCUUCCUUGUGUUAGGACUGGCAGCUUGCAGUACUCCACUUCUGGGAGCCAACUGCUCUCUUCGUUGGUGUUCACUAGUCAGCUUGGGCCGCUGUAACAAAAUUCCAUAGACUGACAUGAGUCAAGAUGGUGGUGUAAGUACACUCUGAACUCAUCUCCUCCCACAAACACAACCAGGUUACAAC
Molecule: non-coding RNA, 2858 nt
Organism: Equus caballus (horse)
Lineage: Eukaryota; Metazoa; Chordata; Mammalia; Perissodactyla; Equidae
Source: RefSeq, a predicted model, not a curated record